This 253-nucleotide ribosomal RNA is filed under the name uncultured bacterium. Its description in RNAcentral is "partial 16S ribosomal RNA". It matches the Rfam family "Bacterial small subunit ribosomal RNA", at positions 524 to 776 of the family's 1533-position model. The record is from RNAcentral.
UACAGAGGUCCCAAGCGUUGUUCGGAUUCACUGGGCGUAAAGGGUGCGUAGGCGGUCGGGUGAGUCUGAUGUGAAAUCUCACAGCUUAACUGUGAAACUGCAUUGGAUACUAUCCGGCUCGAGGAAUGGAGGGGAGACUGGAAUACUUGGUGUAGCAGUGAAAUGCGUAGAUAUCAAGUGGAACACCAGUGGCGAAGGCGAGUCUCUGGACAUUUCCUGACGCUGAGGCACGAAAGCCAGGGGAGCAAACGGG